AUGAUGUCACUGAGAACUGCCGUAGACUACCUGCUGUACAGAUUUCCUUACAUUGACCAGAUUUGAGGGUGACACUUUCAGAAGAGUCUCCUGUUUAAGAGUGGAAACCUUUACAUACUAAAUCUCUCUAAAGGACCUUUUAUACUUGACAAAAAGAGUGAAGGUCAUGAUGCCUAAUGAUGAUGUCACUGAAAACUCUCAUGGACUACCUGAUGAACAACUUUCCUUACAUUGACAAGAUUCAAGUUUGCACUUUAAAGGCUCCACCAAGGGACGACUGACACUGAAGCAGACGCGCACGGUCAAAUAUCAGAUGGAGCUCAGUGAGUCUCACUGAAGAACUGAAGGAAGGACUGAGAGAG
Molecule: non-coding RNA, 362 nt
Organism: Rattus norvegicus (Norway rat)
Lineage: Eukaryota; Metazoa; Chordata; Mammalia; Rodentia; Muridae
Source: RefSeq, a predicted model, not a curated record